CGAAAUUAUAGGGUUUAACGAUCAAUUACCGAUCGCUAAACCCCGGGACGAAGUGAUACGCGAACGGACGAGCCGAUCCACGCUGCGCUGCGCUGCUCCCCAGUCCCCACCCCCAUCCAAUCCGUCGCCGUCUCGCCAGUGCCCCGUCCCUUUCCUGUCCUUCCUCGCGCUCCCCGCAUCUAAUCCUCGCGGAGCUGAGCGCCACCUUCGCUGCCGCUAGUGCUGCCACCACCGGGCUCGUAGCGCGCGUCGUCGGUUGCCUCCCCUCCGCGCGCAAGCCCGGGCCGGCUCGGUUCUGAGACGCGGUGGUUCGGGAGGUUCCUGGGGACGCGCGCGGAAUGCGGUGAACCGGCGGGGGGUUCGGUUGUGGGGUCCCGCGCGGAUUGGUUACCAGUGAGCGACCGGCGCGGGCGCCAUGGACGGCGGCAGCGGCGAUGGUGCGAAAUCGGGGAAGCAUGGGGGCGGUCAGUUGUGCCAGAUCUGCGGCGACGGCGUGGGCACGACGGCGGACGGCGAGCUCUUCACCGCCUGUGACGUCUGCGGGUUCCCGGUGUGCCGCCCCUGCUACGAGUACGAGCGCAAGGACGGCACCCAGGCGUGCCCGCAGUGCAAGACCAAGUAUAAGCGCCACAAGGGUAUGCCCUCCUCGCCAUUUCCAUGGGUUCCCUUGCAGUUCAGGUUAAGGACAGCAGGGAGCCCUCCGGUACACGGUGUGGAAGGCGAGGAUGUUGAUGCUGACUAUGCAAGUGACUACAACUACCCAGCAUCUGGCAACCAGGAUCAGAAGCAGAAAUUUGCCGAGAGAAUGCUCACCUGGCGCAUGAACUCAGGACGUAGUGAUGAUGUUGGCCAUGCUAAGUAUGACAGUGGUGAGAUUGGGCAUGCGAAGUAUGACAGUGGUGAGAUCCCUCGUGGAUACAUCCCAUCACUCACUCAUAGCCAGAUCUCAGGAGAAAUUCCUGGUGCUUCCCCUGACCAUAUGAUGUCUCCUGUUGGGAAUAUUGGCAGGCGCGGACACCAGUUUCCAUAUGUGAAUCAUUCUCCAAACCCAUCAAGGGAGUUCUCCGGUAGCCUUGGCAAUGUUGCAUGGAAAGAGAGAGUGGAUGGCUGGAAAAUGAAGGACAAGGGUGCAAUUCCUAUGACCAAUGGGACCAGCAUUGCUCCCUCGGAAGGACGUGGAGUUGGUGAUAUCGAUGCAUCUACUGACUAUAACAUGGAAGAUGCCUUACUGAAUGAUGAAACUCGGCAACCUCUAUCUAGAAAAGUACCAAUUCCUUCAUCCAGAAUAAAUCCCUACAGAAUGGUUAUCAUCCUACGUUUGAUUGUCCUAUGCAUUUUCCUGCACUACCGGAUCACAAAUCCUGUGCGCAAUGCAUAUCCACUAUGGCUGCUGUCUGUUAUAUGUGAGAUUUGGUUUGCUCUGUCCUGGAUUUUGGAUCAGUUCCCGAAGUGGUCCCCAAUCAACCGUGAAACUUACCUUGAUAGACUGGCUUUAAGGUAUGACCGAGAAGGCGAACCAUCUCAGUUGGCUCCUGUUGAUAUUUUCGUCAGUACUGUGGAUCCUAUGAAGGAACCUCCUCUUGUCACUGCCAAUACUGUGCUUUCCAUCCUUGCUGUGGACUACCCGGUUGACAAGGUAUCUUGUUAUGUGUCUGAUGAUGGAGCUGCGAUGCUGAGUUUUGAUGCCCUUGCUGAAACUUCAGAGUUUGCUAGAAAAUGGGUACCAUUCUGUAAGAAGUACAACAUAGAACCUAGGGCUCCAGAGUGGUACUUCGCUCAGAAAAUUGAUUACUUGAAAGACAAAGUUCAAACUUCAUUUGUUAAAGACCGCCGGGCCAUGAAGAGAGAAUAUGAAGAAUUCAAAGUCCGUAUCAAUGGCCUUGUAGCCAAGGCACAGAAAGUUCCUGAGGAGGGAUGGAUCAUGCAAGAUGGUACACCUUGGCCUGGGAACAAUACCAGGGACCAUCCUGGAAUGAUUCAGGUUUUCCUUGGUCACAGUGGAGGUCUUGAUGCUGAGGGCAAUGAACUUCCUCGUUUGGUUUAUGUGUCUCGUGAAAAACGUCCUGGAUUCCAGCAUCACAAGAAGGCUGGUGCCAUGAAUGCACUUGUUCGUGUAUCAGCUGUCCUUACAAAUGGGCAAUACUUGUUGAAUCUUGACUGUGAUCACUACAUCAACAAUAGCAAGGCUCUCCGGGAGGCUAUGUGCUUCCUUAUGGACCCAAACCUAGGAAGGAAUGUCUGUUAUGUCCAAUUUCCUCAAAGGUUCGAUGGUAUUGAUAGGAAUGACCGAUAUGCAAACAGGAACACAGUGUUUUUCGAUAUUAACUUGAGAGGUCUUGAUGGCAUUCAAGGACCAGUUUAUGUGGGUACUGGUUGUGUGUUCAACAGAACGGCCUUAUAUGGUUAUGAACCCCCAAUCAAGAAGAAAAAGGCGGGUUUCUUCUCUUCGCUUUGUGGGGGAAGGAAGAAGACAGCAAAAUCUAAGAAGAGCUCGGAGAAGAAGAAGAAGUCACACAAGCACGCAGACAGUUCUGUGCCGGUAUUCAAUCUUGAAGAUAUAGAGGAAGGGGUUGAAGGUUCUGGAUUUGAUGAUGAGAAAUCGCUUAUUAUGUCUCAAAUGAGCUUGGAGAAGAGAUUUGGCCAGUCCAGUGUUUUUGUAGCCUCUACUCUGAUGGAAUAUGGUGGUGUUCCUCAGUCUGCAACUCCAGAGUCUCUUCUGAAAGAAGCUAUCCAUGUCAUCAGCUGCGGCUAUGAGGACAAAUCUGACUGGGGAACUGAGAUUGGAUGGAUCUAUGGUUCUGUUACAGAAGACAUUCUCACUGGGUUCAAGAUGCAUGCUCGAGGCUGGCGGUCAAUCUACUGCAUGCCUAAGCUACCAGCAUUCAAGGGGUCUGCUCCUAUCAACCUUUCAGAUCGUCUGAAUCAAGUGCUUCGGUGGGCUCUUGGUUCCAUUGAAAUUCUUUUCAGCAGGCAUUGCCCCAUAUGGUAUGGCUAUGGAGGACGGCUUAAGUUCCUGGAGAGAUUUGCUUACGUCAACACCACAAUUUAUCCACUCACAUCGAUCCCACUCCUCUUGUACUGCAUAUUGCCGGCUGUUUGUCUUCUCACUGGGAAGUUCAUCAUCCCAGAGAUUAGUAACUUUGCGAGUAUUUGGUUUAUAUCGCUCUUUAUCUCAAUCUUUGCCACUGGUAUCCUUGAGAUGAGGUGGAGUGGUGUUGGCAUUGAUGAAUGGUGGAGGAAUGAGCAGUUUUGGGUUAUUGGUGGUAUUUCUGCGCAUCUAUUUGCCGUCUUCCAGGGUCUCCUUAAGGUUCUUGCCGGUAUCGACACCAGCUUCACUGUGACCUCUAAGGCCACUGAUGAAGAAGGUGAUUUUGCCGAGCUCUACAUGUUCAAGUGGACAACACUUCUGAUCCCACCAACAACUAUUUUGAUCAUAAACCUGGUUGGUGUGGUUGCCGGUAUUUCCUAUGCGAUCAACAGCGGUUACCAGUCAUGGGGGCCUCUCUUUGGGAAGCUCUUCUUUGCCUUCUGGGUGAUUGUUCAUUUAUACCCCUUCCUCAAGGGUCUCAUGGGGCGGCAGAACCGCACACCGACCAUUGUUGUCGUCUGGGCCAUCCUCCUCGCAUCAAUCUUUUCCUUGCUGUGGGUUCGUAUUGAUCCAUUCACCACUCGGGUCACUGGUCCAGAUACUCAGCAAUGUGGCAUCAACUGCUAGAAGAUUUGAAGAUAUUAGGAACCGAAUUGGCCCCCAUUGUGUUGUAAGCUAUCAGCGGGUGACCCUUUCUAUAGUUUGAUAGGAACUUGGUUGUCGGAGAGUUACUUAUGUGCUAAUAUGUAUCUUGUCGUUUAUCGUGCAAGGUUGUGGAAGAACAGUCCCAGAUUUUGUCCAAUUUGCGUUCCGGCAAGUGCUUUCUAUGUCACCCUUGGUACCCUCCAUUUUCGGGUCAAUGUUCUGCAACACGAUGCCAUGGCAUGGGACAUUCUCGCUGCAGUUCAACUUGAUGGCAUCCAUCGAAAUAGUUGUCCCCCUGAUGUUCUUGAAGACCACAUUGCUUACCUCCACUGCUGAUCCCUGUGUUUUGCACGGUUUCGCAGAAUCACAGCAGUUUUGCUAGAACCUGAAGACACAACACAUCCCAUAUGAUGUGGAAUUUUGAACAUA
This is an RNA transcript of Phragmites australis (common reed), 4162 nucleotides long. It is a transcript of the gene named probable cellulose synthase A catalytic subunit 2 [UDP-forming], with no coding region annotated. The record is from RefSeq and is a predicted model, not a curated record. NCBI's taxonomy places the organism in Eukaryota, Viridiplantae, Streptophyta, Magnoliopsida, Poales, Poaceae. The transcript is spliced from 15 exons.